This 275-nucleotide ribosomal RNA is filed under the name uncultured bacterium. RNAcentral's name for it is "partial 16S ribosomal RNA". It matches the Rfam family "Bacterial small subunit ribosomal RNA", at positions 399 to 691 of the family's 1533-position model. The record is from RNAcentral.
GCGUGAGUGAUGAAGGCCUUAGGGUUGUAAAGCUCUUUCGCCCACGACGAUAAUGACGGUAGUGGGAGAAGAAGCCUCGGCUAACUCCGUGCCAGCAGCCGCGGUAAUACGGAGGAGGCUAGCGUUGUUCGGAAUUACUGGGCGUAAAGCGUGCGUAGGCUGUUUGACAAGUCGGAUGUGAAAGCCCAGGGCUUAACCCUGGAAUAGCAUCCGAUACUGUCUUGCUAGAGUUGAGGAGAGGAGAGCGGAAUUCCCAGUGUAGAGGUAAAAUUCGU